ACGGGAGGCAGCAGUUAAGAAUAUUCCGCAAUGGACGAAAGUCUGACGGAGCGACGCCGCGUGGAUGAUGAAGGUCGGAAGAUUGUAAAAUCCUUUUAUCACUGAGGAAUAAGUAUUUUGAUAGAAACGCAGUAUGGUUACUGUAGGUUAUGAAUAAGCAACGGCUAAUUACGUGCCAGCAGCCGCGGUAACACGUAAGUUGCGAGCGUUGUUCGGAAUUAUUGGGCGUAAAGGGCAUGUAGGCGGUUUUGCAAGAUUGAUGUGAAAGGCAGGAGCUUAACUCCUGUACUGCGUUGAGAACUGCAUAACUAGAGUCACUGAGAGGCAAGCAGAAUGCCAAGUGUAGGGGUGAAAUCUGUAGAUAUCUGGAAGAAUACCAAUGGCAAAGGCAGGUUACCAGCAGAUGACUGACGCUGAGGUGCGAAAGUGCGGGGAGCAAACAGGAUUAGAUACCCUGGUA
This 460-nucleotide ribosomal RNA is filed under the name uncultured Treponema sp. Its description in RNAcentral is "partial 16S ribosomal RNA". It matches the Rfam family "Bacterial small subunit ribosomal RNA", at positions 341 to 792 of the family's 1533-position model. Lineage: Bacteria; Pseudomonadati; Spirochaetota; Spirochaetia; Treponematales; Treponemataceae. The record is from RNAcentral.